This is a long non-coding RNA of Brassica napus (rape), 2459 nucleotides long. RefSeq lists it as uncharacterized. The record is from RefSeq and is a predicted model, not a curated record. The transcript has 3 exons. Lineage: Eukaryota; Viridiplantae; Streptophyta; Magnoliopsida; Brassicales; Brassicaceae.
CAUAUAUGUGUUGAAGAGAUAUAAGUGGAAAAAGAUGCAACUUUCCAAGUCAAAAGUAGUAAUCUAAACUAUAUUAAAAGAGUGAUACGAGGAGUAGAAAGUGUGUUCCACGUCAGAUUAAAAAAUCGGCCAAUUAGAGAACUUUCUGUAGCCACGUCAUCAUCUCCUUAAACGUAGGCGGCUCUGUGUUUUGAGCUUCAUCUCAUCUGAAAAUAGAAGCAAUUAUUGUCUUCUCCCAUCUGUUACAAUAAGAUAUACUCUUCUCCCUUCUCAGAAACGGAAGCGACCUCUCCCCUAGAUCUAGAAAUCAUCAUAUAUUAUUUGCCCUUCAAAUCAGUUAUUCUUCUGAGUAUCAUUCUCUUUUUCUCUGUAAUCUCCUUCGAUAAGUAGAGUCGGGAAGAGGGAUAUGAUUUCUGGAUUGAAUUCAGUGAUUACUUUGAGUGUCCCCACCAAAGAGGUAUCCUACUACUUCUUUAUUCUCCUCUUUCCUGGUCUUCUUUUAAUUGAAGAUUGAUUUCGUGGUGAUUGUUAGGUUAUGGUGCAAGCCACUGUUUCUGUGUUGGAUUUGGAAAGGUUUGUGUCUUGACAAUUCAAAAUUAUCACUUUAAUAGAAAACGUGGGGGGGAGUCGGAGAGGUCAAAGUUCACAUUGUUAUGUGGCUCAGAUCUCUUCUCUUCCUGAUCCUAUACAAGAAAAUUUUGAGGUUAGGUCUUCAGAGAAAUGUGUUACACUGUCCCAUAUCCCAUUUUCUCACUUGAAAGCAGUCCGGUGCAGGUAGGUGGUACAGAUGCGACUCCUCCGUUUUGGGAGUCUAGGAAUGUCAAUAAAAUAAAGAGGACAGUUUAUGGGGGUUGAUAUGCUGCUGCUUUAUUCCAAGGUAAUCUGACCACCGCUUUAAAAAUCGAAUGUUUCAUAAUUUCAUUACCUAUUUUUUUGGACUCCUUUGUAGAAAAAGAGGUCACUCUAACUUGAACUAGAUAGGGACGACACAUGCUCUAUGCGGCGGACCAGUUGGUGCUCGACAUCUGCAACCCCGAACUCAGGGAGAAUGCUCUUCACGAGUUUUCUAAGGUCGUUCAUUAUCUCUCUCUAUGCAGUUAAUUAAACUCCUCUUGCUUAGUGUUGCCUAUGAAUUCUGAUUGUCUUGGUUUUUGUAUUGACAAUCAAUUUUUUUUUACUAGGUUUUGGUUUGUUUUGCUCGGUAAAUCUAUUGUUAAUCUAGGACAAGCUUUCAGAUUUGUAGGAUGAUAUCGUUGAAACUCUAGACAAUUAAAAAGUUAAAUGGUUUUGAUGUUCUGUAAUAAUAUAACAUGUGGUCGUGUGUUUUUAAUUUACUAUCAUUUUUUUUUGAGAAGAGAGAUCUUUCAUGAUUUGACUCUCCUGUUGUGGCCCUCUGUUGGUACCAUUCCUGCUCUUCCACAUGUACUCUUCGUCCAUUAAAGCUGAGUGGAACCUUCGCAUGGUGAAAUAAAGUCGAACUAUCACAAUUACACUUCAGCGGUUGGGAGUGGGAAGAAGGCGAUGCAAGAAGUUAUCUUGAACUGGUAUAAUCAAAUCUCAAAAAUUCAUAACAUAUACCAUCCCAACAACUGGGCUUUACAUCAAUCUCAAAAGUUCUUAGCAUCUUUUUGAACUUUUUGAGAAGGAUAAUUUUAACUUGGACAAGGCAUUGAUGAUUGCACAUCAAUGGAGGAAAGCUCAAGAAUUACUGGUCAGUCACUUUUCACUUCAAUAUCUUAAACAGAGGAGGAAUAUAUGCGAAUGAAAACCUAAGCUCUCAGUACUCAUCCGCUGUAUCAUCCUCUCUUGAUGUUGCUAACACCAGCCUUCUUACUUCUGUUAAUCAUUCGCUGAAACCCAGUAAUGAUGCAUGUUCUAAGAUCAACUCCAUGUUUAUCCCCUGCUGUGAAGACUUGAUAGAGCCCAAGAGUGAUCACAGUCACAAUAUUGUAGAGAUCACAAACAACACAGGGAAAUAUCUUCUUGAUGAAAACUUAGUGGAUAAACCUUCGUGUUCAACGCCCAGGAAAAGACCAAACGACAUACCAAGCAUCGAGUCCAUUGAGGUACUUAGAAUUCCAGUAUCUGAGACUUACUGAGAGCGUUUCAAGAUGGGAAACUGUUGAAGCAGGCCAAUGGUGAUGCAAAGGAGCAGCAACACCUUAUACGUGCUUCCUCUGUCUAUGCAGAAGCUGUGUCGGACUCAAGAUCUCCUCUCUCUGCUGUUAACUGAUACCCAAAGAGGAUUAGUCAUAAAUAAGCCAAGAAAAGAAGGUUAUUAACUUAUUAUUGUGUCACAGUCUACAGAAAGAGUAUUGUUGCAUACAUGUCAACAUAUUUUCUUCGUGGAACUGGUUUGAGGAUUUUUACAAAACACUUUUCUUAGUAUUCUUUAUUUGUUUAGUUAAGAUUUGUAUUGUUUAUUAGUUGGAACAAAAUAAUUUUUUUUAUCUUCUGAA